This is a small nuclear RNA of Hyaena hyaena (striped hyena), 107 nucleotides long. NCBI's taxonomy places the organism in Eukaryota, Metazoa, Chordata, Mammalia, Carnivora, Hyaenidae. The record is from RefSeq and is a predicted model, not a curated record.
GUGCUCACUUCAGCAGGACAUGUACUAAAAUUGGAAUGAUAAAGAGAAGAUUAGCAUGGCCCCUGCACAAGGAUGACUGGCAAAUUCGUGAAGUUUCCAUAUUUUGU